This 1359-nucleotide ribosomal RNA is filed under the name uncultured bacterium. RNAcentral's name for it is "bacterial SSU rRNA". It matches the Rfam family "Bacterial small subunit ribosomal RNA", at positions 28 to 1381 of the family's 1533-position model. The record is from RNAcentral.
AUUGAACGCUGGCGGCAUGCCUUACACAUGCAAGUCGAACGGCAGCAUGAUCUAGCUUGCUAGAUUGAUGGCGAGUGGCGAACGGGUGAGUAAUACAUCGGAACGUGCCCUGUAGUGGGGGAUAACUAGUCGAAAGAUUAGCUAAUACCGCAUACGACCUGAGGGUGAAAGUGGGGGACCGCAAGGCCUCAUGCUAUAGGAGCGGCCGAUGUCUGAUUAGCUAGUUGGUGGGGUAAAGGCCCACCAAGGCGACGAUCAGUAGCUGGUCUGAGAGGACGAUCAGCCACACUGGGACUGAGACACGGCCCAGACUCCUACGGGAGGCAGCAGUGGGGAAUUUUGGACAAUGGGCGAAAGCCUGAUCCAGCAAUGCCGCGUGUGUGAAGAAGGCCUUCGGGUUGUAAAGCACUUUUGUCCGGAAAGAAAUGGCUCUGGUUAAUACCUGGGGUCGAUGACGGUACCGGAAGAAUAAGGACCGGCUAACUACGUGCCAGCAGCCGCGGUAAUACGUAGGGUCCAAGCGUUAAUCGGAAUUACUGGGCGUAAAGCGUGCGCAGGCGGUUGUACAAGACCGAUGUGAAAUCCCCGAGCUUAACUUGGGAAUGCAUUGGUGACUGCACGGCUAGAGUGUGUCAGAGGGGGGUAGAAUUCCACGUGUAGCAGUGAAAUGCGUAGAGAUGUGGAGGAAUACCGAUGGCGAAGGCAGCCCCCUGGGAUAACACUGACGCUCAUGCACGAAAGCGUGGGGAGCAAACAGGAUUAGAUACCCUGGUAGUCCACGCCCUAAACGAUGUCAACUAGUUGUUGGGGAUUCAUUUCCUUAGUAACGUAGCUAACGCGUGAAGUUGACCGCCUGGGGAGUACGGUCGCAAGAUUAAAACUCAAAGGAAUUGACGGGGACCCGCACAAGCGGUGGAUGAUGUGGAUUAAUUCGAUGCAACGCGAAAAACCUUACCUACCCUUGACAUGCCACUAACGAAGCAGAGAUGCAUUAGGUGCUCGAAAGAGAAAGUGGACACAGGUGCUGCAUGGCUGUCGUCAGCUCGUGUCGUGAGAUGUUGGGUUAAGUCCCGCAACGAGCGCAACCCUUGUCUCUAGUUGCUACGAAAGGGCACUCUAGAGAGACUGCCGGUGACAAACCGGAGGAAGGUGGGGAUGACGUCAAGUCCUCAUGGCCCUUAUGGGUAGGGCUUCACACGUCAUACAAUGGUGCAUACAGAGGGUUGCCAAGCCGCGAGGUGGAGCUAAUCCCAGAAAAUGCAUCGUAGUCCGGAUCGUAGUCUGCAACUCGACUACGUGAAGCUGGAAUCGCUAGUAAUCGCGGAUCAGCAUGCCGCGGUGAAUACGUUUCCCGGGUCU